GGGGGCGUAGCUCAGUUGGGAGAGCGUCGCGUUCGCAAUGCGAAGGUCGUCGGUUCGAUCCCGUCCGCCUCCACCA
This 76-nucleotide transfer RNA is filed under the name Corallococcus praedator. RNAcentral's name for it is "Corallococcus sp. CA031B tRNA-Ala". It matches the Rfam family "tRNA". From Rfam's summary of the family: Transfer RNA (tRNA) molecules are approximately 80 nucleotides in length. Their secondary structure includes four short double-helical elements and three loops (D, anti-codon, and T loops). Further hydrogen bonds mediate the characteristic L-shaped molecular structure. tRNAs have two regions of fundamental functional importance: the anti-codon, which is responsible for specific mRNA codon recognition, and the 3' end, to which the tRNAs corresponding amino acid is attached (by aminoacyl-tRNA synthetases). tRNAs cope with the degeneracy of the genetic code in two manners: having more than one tRNA (with a specific anti-codon) for a particular amino acid; and 'wobble' base-pairing, i.e. permitting non-standard base-pairing at the 3rd anti-codon position. RNAcentral also lists the same sequence under 10 other names. Lineage: Bacteria; Pseudomonadati; Myxococcota; Myxococcia; Myxococcales; Myxococcaceae. The record is from RNAcentral.